GGUUGAUGCUGUGAAUGCGCUCGGUCAUCCCCUUGCAACUGAUGUCACCUGCAGCAUGUCAACGCAGACACAAAACAGGGCAUGGGUCAGAUCUAGCUGGUUGCAUUCCUAACACCUAGGUUUCAGAGUAAAAAUACAGAGUCAGCUUGUGAUGGCAUUCCCUCAAAACAUGGAAGGAAUUGCAGUAAUGAAAGUCAUCAUGUAUUCUAAGAGACUGUUCUGCGAGAGCACAACACAGACGGGGCUAAAGCAGGGAUUGUCUAAGCCCAGUGUGGAGGAACCAUCAAGGAUUUCAGCACGUUUUUUUAGCCAUUGUGAGAAGCAAAAGUGCUCAGGAGUUAAGAGAAGCAGACGUCCGAAAUUAUCUCCAUGCAUUACCAAAAACCGUGGGCACCACGGCACGGGGAAAACUUACCAGGUACAAUGAGCCAGUGACUGUUACUGAAUUUCUUAAGAUUACACUUUUCCCAACUACUGCAGACUGCUUCAGAAUAGAAGAAGACAACUCUCAUGCCAUCAAGCCGACGGACUUUCAAAAAAAUAAAAGAUGCAUUUCUUUACUUGUAAGUAUUUGUCUUUGCAAAGGGCUCUCUGAUAUGGUAGCACAGAAGUUUGCACAUUCUAAGGAUCU
RNAcentral lists this long non-coding RNA (631 nucleotides) under Homo sapiens (human). RNAcentral's name for it is "long non-coding RNA NONHSAT091280". The record is from RNAcentral. Lineage: Eukaryota; Metazoa; Chordata; Mammalia; Primates; Hominidae.